This 441-nucleotide ribosomal RNA is filed under the name uncultured bacterium. RNAcentral describes it as "partial 16S ribosomal RNA". It matches the Rfam family "Bacterial small subunit ribosomal RNA", at positions 28 to 507 of the family's 1533-position model. The record is from RNAcentral.
GAUGAACGCUGGCGGCGUGCCUAAUACAUGCAAGUCGAACGGGGAGUAGCAAUACUCUUAGUGGCGAACGGGUGAGUAACGCGUUGGUACCUGCCCCGAAGCGGGGGAUAACGGACCGAAAGGUCCGCUAAUACCCCAUGUGCUCGGUAACGAGUAAAGGUGAAAACCACUUUGGGAGGGGCCUGCGUCCCAUCAGCUAGUUGGUAAGGUAACGGCUUACCAAGGCGAUGACGGGUAGGGGACCUGAGAGGGUGGCCCCCCACAAUGGAACUGAAACACGGUCCAUACACCUACGGGUGGCAGCAGUAGGGAAUAUUGGUAAUGGGCGCAAGCCUGAACCAGCAACGCCGCGUGUGCGAUGACGGCCUUCGGGUUGUAAAGCACUUUUGACUGGGACGAGGAAGGACGGUACCGGUCGAAUCAGCCCCGGCUAACUACGUG